AGAGGCGAUGAAGGGCGUGCUAAUCUGCGAUAAGCGCCGGUAAGGUGAUAUGAACCGUUAUAACCGGCGAUACCCGAAUGGGGAAACCCAGUGUGACUCGUCACACUAUCAUUAACUGAAUCCAUAGGUUAAUGAGGCGAACCGGGGGAACUGAAACAUCUAAGUACCCCGAGGAAAAGAAAUCAACCGAGAUUCCCCCAGUAGCGGCGAGCGAACGGGGAGGAGCCCAGAGCCUGAAUCAGCAUGUGUGUUAGUGGAAGCGUCUGGAAAGGCGCGCGAUACAGGGUGACAGCCCCGUACACAAAAGCGCAUGUGCUGUGAGCUCGAUGAGUAGGGCGGGACACGUGGUAUCCUGUCUGAAUAUGGGGGGACCAUCCUCCAAGGCUAAAUACUCCUGACUGACCGAUAGUGAACCAGUACCGUGAGGGAAAGGCGAAAAGAACCCCGGCGAGGGGAGUGAAAAAGAACCUGAAACCGUGUACGUACAAGCAGUGGGAGCACCCUUUGGGUGUGACUGCGUACCUUUUGUAUAAUGGGUCAGCGACUUAUAUUCUGUAGCAAGGUUAACCGAAUAGGGGAGCCGGAGGGAAACCGAGUCUUAAUUGGGCGUUAAGUUGCAGGGUAUAGACCCGAAACCCGGUGAUCUAGCCAUGGGCAGGUUGAAGGUUGGGUAACACUAACUGGAGGACCGAACCGACUAAUGUUGAAAAAUUAGCGGAUGACCUGUGGCUGGGGGUGAAAGGCCAAUCAAACCGGGAGAUAGCUGGUUCUCCCCGAAAGCUAUUUAGGUAGCGCCUCGUGAAUUCAUCUCCGGGGGUAGAGCACUGUUUCGGCUAGGGGGCCAUCCCGGCUUACCAACCCGAUGCAAACUGCGAAUACCGGAGAAUGUUAUCACGGGAGACACACGGCGGGUGCUAACGUCCGUCGUGAAGAGGGAAACAACCCAGACCGCCAGCUAAGGUCCCAAAGUCAUGGUUAAGUGGGAAACGAUGUGGGAAGGCCCAGACAGCCAGGAUGUUGGCUUAGAAGCAGCCAUCAUUUAAAGAAAGCGUAAUAGCUCACUGGUCGAGUCGGCCUGCGCGGAAGAUGUAACGGGGCUAAACCAUGCACCGAAGCUGCGGCAGCGACGCUUAUGCGUUGUUGGGUAGGGGAGCGUUCUGUAAGCCUGCGAAGGUGGCCUGUGAGGGUUGCUGGAGGUAUCAGAAGUGCGAAUGCUGACAUAAGUAACGAUAAAGCGGGUGAAAAGCCCGCUCGCCGGAAGACCAAGGGUUCCUGUCCAACGUUAAUCGGGGCAGGGUGAGUCGACCCCUAAGGCGAGGCCGAAAGGCGUAGUCGAUGGGAAACGGGUUAAUAUUCCCGUACUUGGUGUUACUGCGAAGGGGGGACGGAGAAGGCUAUGUUGGCCGGGCGACGGUUGUCCCGGUUUAAGCGUGUAGGUGUGUGUUCCAGGUAAAUCCGGUUCACUUUAACACUGAGGCGUGAUGACGAGGCACUACGGUGCUGAAG
Molecule: ribosomal RNA, 1506 nt
Filed under: Salmonella enterica subsp. enterica serovar Enteritidis
Lineage: Bacteria; Pseudomonadati; Pseudomonadota; Gammaproteobacteria; Enterobacterales; Enterobacteriaceae
Description: partial 23S ribosomal RNA
Rfam family: Bacterial large subunit ribosomal RNA
Source: RNAcentral